UGGGGAAUAUUGGACAAUGGGCGCAAGCCUGAUCCAGCAAUGCCGCGUGAGUGAAGAAGGCCUUCGGGUUGUAAAGCUCUUUUGUCAGGGAAGAAACGGUGAGGGCUAAUAUCCUUUGCUAAUGACGGUACCUGAAGAAUAAGCACCGGCUAACUACGUGCCAGCAGCCGCGGUAAUACGUAGGGUGCAAGCGUUAAUCGGAAUUACUGGGCGUAAAGCGUGCGCAGGCGGUUAUGUAAGUCAGAUGUGAAAUCCCCGGGCUCAACCUGGGAAUGGCAUUUGAGACUGCAUGGCUAGAGUGUGUCAGAGGGGGGUAGAAUUCCACGUGUAGCAGUGAAAUGCGUAGAGAUGUGGAGGAAUACCGAUGGCGAAGGCAGCCCCCUGGGAUAACACUGACGCUCAUGCACGAAAGCGUGGGGAGCAAACAGGAUUAGAUACCCCAGUAGUCCCUGAGCGGGCUGGCAAGGCGCAU
Molecule: ribosomal RNA, 472 nt
Filed under: uncultured bacterium
Lineage: Bacteria
Description: bacterial SSU rRNA
Rfam family: Bacterial small subunit ribosomal RNA
Source: RNAcentral